CCUACGGGAGGCAGCAGUGGGGGAUAUUGCACAAUGGGGGCAACCCUGAUGCAGCGACGCCGCGUGAGCGAUGGAGUACUUCGGUAUGUAAAGCUCUAUCAGCAGGGAAGAAAAUGACGGUACCUGACCAAGAAGCCCCGGCUAACUACGUGCCAGCAGCCGCGGUAAUACGUAGGGGGCAAGCGUUAUCCGGAUUUACUGGGUGUAAAGGGAGCGUAGACGGCAGCGCAAGUCUGGAGUGAAAUGCCGGGGCCCAACCCCGGAACUGCUUUGGAAACUGUGCAGCUGGAGUGCAGGAGAGGUAAGCGGAAUUCCUAGUGUAGCGGUGAAAUGCGUAGAUAUUAGGAGGAACACCAGUGGCGAAGGCGGCUUACUGGACUGUAACUGACGUUGAGGCUCGAAAGCGUGGGGAGCAAACAGGAUUAGAUACCCCAGUAGUG
This 440-nucleotide ribosomal RNA is filed under the name uncultured bacterium. Its description in RNAcentral is "partial 16S ribosomal RNA". It matches the Rfam family "Bacterial small subunit ribosomal RNA", at positions 338 to 795 of the family's 1533-position model. The record is from RNAcentral.